This 468-nucleotide ribosomal RNA is filed under the name uncultured bacterium. RNAcentral describes it as "partial 16S ribosomal RNA". It matches the Rfam family "Bacterial small subunit ribosomal RNA", at positions 28 to 507 of the family's 1533-position model. The record is from RNAcentral.
GAUGAACGCUGGCGGCGUGCUUAAUACAUGCAAGUCGAACGAUGAAGCUAGAGCUUGCUGGCGUGGAUGUGUGGCGAACGCGUGAGUGUAACGUGAGCAACCUGCCCCUGACUCAGGAAUAUAAGCUGGAAACGGCGUCUAUUACUGGGUACGAGAUGUUUACGCACGGGGAUUUUCUGGAAAGUACUUCGGUUGUGGAUCGGCUCGCAGGCUAUCAGCUUGUUUGGGAGGUAAUGGCUCACCAAGGCGACGACGGGUAGCCGGCCUGAGAGGGCGACCGGCCACACGGGGACUGAGACACGGCCCAGACGCCUACGGGAGGCAGCAGUCGGGAACAUUGCAGAAUGGGCGAAAGCCUGAUGCAGCGACGCCGCGUGAGUGAUGACGGCCUACGGGUGAUAAACCUCUGUCAGCGGGGAAGAAGCGAUAGUGACGGUACCUGCAGAAGAAGCACCGGCUAACUACGUG